RNAcentral lists this ribosomal RNA (315 nucleotides) under uncultured eukaryote. RNAcentral's name for it is "partial 18S ribosomal RNA". It matches the Rfam family "Eukaryotic small subunit ribosomal RNA", at positions 1470 to 1796 of the family's 1831-position model. The record is from RNAcentral.
CCCUUAGACGUUCUGGGCCGCACGCGCGCUACACUGACCAGUGCAACAAGCAUCCGUCCUUGGCCGACAGGCUCGGGCAAUCUUUGAACGCUGGUCGUGAUGGGGAUAGACUUUUGCAAUUUUUGGUCUUCAACGAGGAAUUCCUAGUAAACGCAAGUCAUCAACUUGCAUUGAUUACGUCCCUGCCCUUUGUACACACCGCCCGUCGCACCUACCGAUUGAAUGGUCCGGUGAAGCCUCCGGAUUGGCGCGCACCUCGGUGCCGCCGAGAAGUUGGCUAAACCUUACCAUUUAGAGGAAGGUGAAGUUGUAAUA